GAUGAACGCUAGCGAUAGGCUUAACACAUGCGAGUCGAGGGGCAGCACAAGGUAGCUUGCUAUCUGGGUGGCGACCGGCGCACGGGUGCGUAACGCGUAUGCAACUUGCCCUAUACAGGAGGAUAACCCGUCGAAAGACGGACUAAUACUGCGUAUGCUCACAACUUGGCAUCAAGUGGUGAGGAAAGAAAUUCGGUAUAGGAUAGGCUUGCGUCCCAUUAGCUUGUUGGUGAGGUAACGGCUCACCAAGGCAACGAUGGGUAGGGGAACUGAGAGGUUUAUCCCCCACACUGGUACUGAGACACGGACCAGACUCCUACGGGAGGCAGCAGUGAGGAAUAUUGGUCAAUGGGCGCGAGCCUGAACCAGCCAAGUCGCGUGAAGGAUGACUGUCUUAUGGAUUGUAAACUUCUUUUAUACGGGAAUAACAAGAGUCACGUGUGACUCCCUGCAUGUACCGUAUGAAUAAGCAUCGGCUAACUCCGUG
Molecule: ribosomal RNA, 487 nt
Filed under: uncultured bacterium
Lineage: Bacteria
Description: partial 16S ribosomal RNA
Rfam family: Bacterial small subunit ribosomal RNA
Source: RNAcentral